Molecule: small nucleolar RNA, 114 nt
Organism: Malania oleifera
Lineage: Eukaryota; Viridiplantae; Streptophyta; Magnoliopsida; Santalales; Ximeniaceae
Product: small nucleolar RNA R64/Z200 family
Exons: 1
Source: RefSeq, a predicted model, not a curated record
CUUUUUCUUGUUUGGAAUUAUUACAGCAAUCACAUGUCAGACUUCAGAGAUUUUUUUUUUUUUUUUUACAAAAAAAAUCUAUGAGAAAGAAAAUUCAUCUUUUCUGAGCAGAAG